CCAAAUCAAUAUCCCCAAAUCGACUUUCCCCAAAUCAAACACCCAAAACCCCAAAUCGAUUUCCCCAAAUCAAACACCCAAAACCCCAAAUCGAUUUCCCCAAAUCAAACACCCAAAACCCCAAAUCGAUUUCCCCAAAUCGUUCACUCCUGUCCGCCGAACGAAGAACUUCUUGUUCACUCCCCAAAUCCGCCGAACGAACAACUUCUUGUUCACUCCCCAAAUCGACGAUCACUCCAUUCUUCC
This 246-nucleotide long non-coding RNA is filed under the name Zostera marina. Its description in RNAcentral is "long non-coding RNA (ZMAR_LNC001400)". The record is from RNAcentral. Lineage: Eukaryota; Viridiplantae; Streptophyta; Magnoliopsida; Alismatales; Zosteraceae.